Ornithorhynchus anatinus (platypus) is the source of this 224-nucleotide long non-coding RNA. RefSeq lists it as uncharacterized. The transcript has 2 exons. Lineage: Eukaryota; Metazoa; Chordata; Mammalia; Monotremata; Ornithorhynchidae. The record is from RefSeq and is a predicted model, not a curated record.
GCAGUUCCUUCUUCCUAGUUCAAGAAAACGUUUGGAAAUUCAGACGAGGCUGGCACACAAGGAAAAUUUUAAUGUUCGAAACCACACUUCCCAGUAGGAAUUAGGACAUGGCAAGCACUGAGGUUCACCAGGAGACGGGAAAAUCCUUGCAUCAUGCUGAUCUCCAGUUUCGGGAUGGUUACCAGCUCGUAUAACAGCUUGAUAAAGAGCACGUGAUCUUCUUU